This 402-nucleotide ribosomal RNA is filed under the name uncultured prokaryote. Its description in RNAcentral is "bacterial SSU rRNA". It matches the Rfam family "Bacterial small subunit ribosomal RNA", at positions 355 to 774 of the family's 1533-position model. The record is from RNAcentral.
UAGGGAAUAUUAGAAAUGGACGAAAGUCUGAUCUAGCAACACCGCGUGUGCGAAGAAGGCCUUCGGGUUGUAAAGCACUUUUUGAGAGGAUGAGGAAGGACGGUACUCUCAGAAUAAGUCUCGGCUAACUACGUGCCAGCAGCCGCGGUAACACGUAGGAGGCAAACGUUAUCCGGAUUUACUGGGCGUAAAGCGCGUGUAGGUGGUUCUGUAAGUAGGGCGUGAAAGCUCCUGGCUCAACUGGGAGAGGUCGUUCAAUACUUCCGGACUUGAGAGUGGGAGAGGGAGGUGGAAUUCCGGGUGUAGUGGUGAAAUGCGUAGAUAUCCGGAGGAACACCAGUGGCGAAAGCGGCCUCCUGGCCCAUUUCUGACGCUCAGACGCGAAAGCUAGGGUAGCAAACG